UGUUUUCCAUAACCCCCUGUGCCUCUGUGCUUGGAAUUGCAGAAUGAGUGUGAGUGCAAGACUGGAUUUCGAGGCAAUGGCAUUGAAUGUGAACCAAUAACUUCCUGCUUGGAACAAACUGGGAAAUGUCAUCCCCUGGCAGCCUGUCAGUUCACCUCUGGCGUCUGGAGCUGUGUUUGUGGAGAAGGCUAUGAAGGUGACGGCUUUCUGUGCUAUGGAAGCGCGGCCGUGGAAUUGUCGUUUCUCUCCGCGGCAGCUAAAUUUAACCAGU
Myotis lucifugus (little brown bat) is the source of this 271-nucleotide long non-coding RNA. RefSeq lists it as uncharacterized. NCBI's taxonomy places the organism in Eukaryota, Metazoa, Chordata, Mammalia, Chiroptera, Vespertilionidae. The record is from RefSeq and is a predicted model, not a curated record. The transcript is spliced from 3 exons.